CUGUGCCUACGGGGGGCAGCAGUGGGGAAUAUUGCACAAUGGGGGAAACCCUGAUGCAGCAACGCCGCGUGAGUGAAGAAGUAUUUCGGUAUGUAAAGCUCUAUCAGCAGGGAAUAGAAAAGAAGGUACCUGAAAAAGAAGCCCCGGCUAACUACGUGCCAGCAGCCGCGGUAAUACGUAGGGGGCAAGCGUUAUCCGGAUUUACUGGGUGUAAAGGGAGCGUAGACGGAAAGGCAAGUCAGAAGUGAAAACUCAGGGCUCAACCCUGAGCCUGCAUUUGAAACUGUGUUUCUUGAGUGCUGGAG
This 305-nucleotide ribosomal RNA is filed under the name uncultured bacterium. RNAcentral's name for it is "bacterial SSU rRNA". It matches the Rfam family "Bacterial small subunit ribosomal RNA", at positions 333 to 654 of the family's 1533-position model. The record is from RNAcentral.